RNAcentral lists this ribosomal RNA (274 nucleotides) under uncultured bacterium. Its description in RNAcentral is "partial 16S ribosomal RNA". It matches the Rfam family "Bacterial small subunit ribosomal RNA", at positions 523 to 796 of the family's 1533-position model. The record is from RNAcentral.
CUACGGAGGGUGCAAGCGUUACUCGGAAUCACUGGGCGUAAAGCGCGCGCAGGCGGCUAUUUAAGUUGGAUGUGAAAGCCUACGGCUCAACCGUAGAACUGCAUCCAAAACUAUUUAGCUAGAGUGUGGGAGAGGAAGAUGGAAUUAGUUGGGUAGGGGUAAAAUCCGUAGAGAUAACUAGGAAUACCAAAAGCGAAGGCAAUCUUCUGGAACACUUCUGACGCUGAGGCGCGAAAGCGUGGGGAGCAAACAGGAUUAGAAACCCUAGUAGUCC